CCAACGGGGGGCAGCAGUGGGGGAUAUUGCACAAUGGGCGAAAGCCUGAUGCAGCAACGCCGCGUGAGGGAAGACGGUUUUCGGAUUGUAAACCUCUGUCUUCGGUGAAGAAACAAAUGACGGUAGCCGAGGAGGAAGCCACGGCUAACUACGUGCCAGCAGCCGCGGUAAUACGUAGGUGGCAAGCGUUGUCCGGAAUUACUGGGUGGAAAGGGAGCGCAGGCGGGGAGACAAGUCAGCUGUGAAAACUAUGGGCUUAACCCAUAAACUGCAGUUGAAACUGUUUUUCGUGAGUGGAGUAGAGGUAGGCGGAAUUCCGAGUGUAGCGGUGAAAUGCGUAGAUAUUCGGAGGAACACCAGUGGCGAAGGCGGCCUCCUGGGCUCUAACUGACGCCGAGGCUCGAAAGUGUGGGGAGCAAACA
RNAcentral lists this ribosomal RNA (422 nucleotides) under uncultured prokaryote. RNAcentral describes it as "bacterial SSU rRNA". It matches the Rfam family "Bacterial small subunit ribosomal RNA", at positions 338 to 774 of the family's 1533-position model. The record is from RNAcentral.